CAAUAGCGUAUAUUAAAGUUGUUGCAGUUAAAAAGCUCGUAGUUGGACUUCUGCGGGUGGCGGCCGGUCGUGCCCUUAUGUGGCGUGAACUUGGCUCUUUGCCGCCCGCAUCUUUGGGGAGAUUGUGCGUGGCAUUAGGUUGUCGUGCAUGGGAUUCUCAUCAUUUACUGUGAAAAAAUUAGAGUGUUUAAAGCAGGCCUUUGCCUUGAAUACAUUAGCAUGGAAUAAUAAGAUAGGACCGUUGUCUAUUUUGUUGGUUUACAGAUGUCGGUAAUGAUUAAUAGGGAUAGUUGGGGGUAUUCGUAUUCAGUUGUCAGAGGUGAAAUUCUUGGAUUUUCGGAAGACGCACGACUGCGAAAGCAUUUACCAAGGAUGUUUNCAUUAA
RNAcentral lists this ribosomal RNA (385 nucleotides) under uncultured eukaryote. RNAcentral describes it as "partial 18S ribosomal RNA". It matches the Rfam family "Eukaryotic small subunit ribosomal RNA", at positions 592 to 976 of the family's 1831-position model. The record is from RNAcentral.